UACGUAGGGGGCGAGCGUUAUCCGGAAUCAUUGGGCGUAAAGAGCUCGUAGGCGGUUCAGCAAGUCAACUGUGAAAGUCCAAGGCUCAACCUUGGAAAUGCAGUCGAUACUGCUGUGACUAGAGUCUGGUAGAGGAGAAUGGAAUUCCCGGUGUAGCGGUGGAAUGCGCAGAUAUCGGGAGGAACACCAGUAGCGAAGGCGGUUCUCUGGGCCUCGACUGACGCUGAGGAGCGAAAGCAUGGGUAGCAAACAGGAUUAGAAACCCCCGUAGUCC
RNAcentral lists this ribosomal RNA (274 nucleotides) under uncultured bacterium. RNAcentral describes it as "partial 16S ribosomal RNA". It matches the Rfam family "Bacterial small subunit ribosomal RNA", at positions 524 to 796 of the family's 1533-position model. The record is from RNAcentral.